CGAGCGUGCAAGUUUUGCAUUCCACCGCGCUUUGUUUAAGAGGAAUAGUUGACAUUCCGGGCGUUUCGGUAUAUUUUUCUUGUAGGGCUAGGUCCAAAAUAUUGUUGAUUCCGUUCCAACUCUGCUUUGGGUUGACAUCUAUCUGCCUGGUUCUGCUCCUGCUUUGCGACCAGCAUUUACAGCGAGCAUUGCACACUCCACUUUUUCUGCAAGUUUUGGGUGCGGCUCCCCGAUAGCAGCAAUUUAAUUUUAUAUCCGGCAUUGCCGGCAUUGCAUUUUACAAUAUUUUUGCUGCUACUACAUCGAUUUUAACAUCGGACACGGAGUAGGCAUGAGCGUAGACCAUCCCAAGUGAUACCAUCCUUGGAGCUACUUCAUUAGCCCAUUUCCCUUUUGACUGUCGUUUUUAUACACCCAACCAAGUUUUGUUUUUAUAUACCCAACCAAGUUUCUAAUAUAAUUCUUGUGUAAAUAUCUAAUAAUUUGUAUAUAUUGUCUCUAUUUGUAUUAUAAAUAAAACCAUUUCAUAUUUGUGAGACUACAGAAA
This is a long non-coding RNA of Patiria miniata (bat star), 547 nucleotides long. RefSeq lists it as uncharacterized. The transcript is spliced from 2 exons. The record is from RefSeq and is a predicted model, not a curated record. Lineage: Eukaryota; Metazoa; Echinodermata; Asteroidea; Valvatida; Asterinidae.